Molecule: unclassified non-coding RNA, 379 nt
Filed under: uncultured Oligoflexales bacterium
Lineage: Bacteria; Pseudomonadati; Bdellovibrionota; Oligoflexia; Oligoflexales
Description: contains 16S-23S intergenic spacer region
Source: RNAcentral
UCCGUGUUAACCACGGCAGUCUCUUUAGAGAGCCCAACUUAAUGCUGGCAACUAAAGACAAGGGUUGCGCUCGUUGCGGGACUUAACCCAACAUGUCACCACACGAGCUGACGACAGCCAUGCAGCACCUGUCACGCUGUGGGGUUGCCCCCAAGACUCCAUCUCUGGAGCUGUCAGCGGAUGUCAAACCCAGGUAAGGUUCUGCGCGUUGCUUCGAAUUAAACCACAUGAUCCACCGCUUGUGCGGGCCCCCGUCAAUUCCUUUGAGUUUUAGUCUUGCGACCGUACUUCCCAGGCGGAGUACUUAUUGCGUUAGCUCCGAUUCGGCAGGGGUCAAGACCCGCCAAAUCUAGUACUCAUCGUUUACGGCGUGGACUAC